UUAUGGCCAUAUCAUGUUGAAAACCUGUUUUCUGUACGAUCACUGAAGUUAAGCAACAUCAAGCCUGGUCAGUACCUAGAUGGGGAACAAUUUGGGAACAACAGGUGCUGUAAG
This is a non-coding RNA of Acanthosepion pharaonis, 114 nucleotides long. The record is from the annotation of a GenBank genome assembly. Lineage: Eukaryota; Metazoa; Mollusca; Cephalopoda; Sepiida; Sepiidae.